UACAGAGGCCUCAAGCGUUGUUCGGAUUUACUGGGCGUAAAGGGUGUUUAGGCUGCGCAAAUAGUCAAAUGCUAAAUCCCCGGGCUCAACCCGGGAACACUGUUUGAUACUGUUGCGCUAGAGUCUGGGAGAGGGGGUUGGAAUUCACGGAGUAGCAGUGAAAUGCGUAGAGAUCGUGAGGAAGACCAAAGGCGAAGGCAGGCCCCUGGAAAAGUACUGACGCUGAAACACGAAGGCCGAGGUAGCGAACGGG
This 253-nucleotide ribosomal RNA is filed under the name uncultured bacterium. Its description in RNAcentral is "partial 16S ribosomal RNA". It matches the Rfam family "Bacterial small subunit ribosomal RNA", at positions 524 to 776 of the family's 1533-position model. The record is from RNAcentral.